ACUAUCAUUAACUGAAUCCAUAGGUUAAUGAGGCGAACCGGGGGAACUGAAACAUCUAAGUACCCCGAGGAAAAGAAAUCAACCGAGAUUCCCCCAGUAGCGGCGAGCGAACGGGGAGCAGCCCAGAGCCUGAAUCAGUAUGUGUGUUAGUGGAAGCGUCUGGAAAGGCGCGCGAUACAGGGUGACAGCCCCGUACACAAAAAUGCACAUGCUGUGAGCUCGAUGAGUAGGGCGGGACACGUGGUAUCCUGUCUGAAUAUGGGGGGACCAUCCUCCAAGGCUAAAUACUCCUGACUGACCGAUAGUGAACCAGUACCGUGAGGGAAAGGCGAAAAGAACCCCGGCGAGGGGAGUGAAAAAGAACCUGAAACCGUGUACGUACAAGCAGUGGGAGCACGCUUAGGCGUGUGACUGCGUACCUUUUGUAUAAUGGGUCAGCGACUUAUAUUCUGUAGCAAGGUUAACCGAAUAGGGGAGCCGAAGGGAAACCGAGUCUUAACUGGGCGUUAAGUUGCAGGGUAUAGACCCGAAACCCGGUGAUCUAGCCAUGGGCAGGUUGAAGGUUGGGUAACACUAACUGGAGGACCGAACCGACUAAUGUUGAAAAAUUAGCGGAUGACUUGUGGCUGGGGGUGAAAGGCCAAUCAAACCGGGAGAUAGCUGGUUCUCCCCGAAAGCUAUUUAGGUAGCGCCUCGUGAAUUCAUCUCCGGGGGUAGAGCACUGUUUCGGCAAGGGGGUCAUCCCGACUUACCAACCCGAUGCAAACUGCGAAUACCGGAGAAUGUUAUCACGGGAGACACACGGCGGGUGCUAACGUCCGUCGUGAAGAGGGAAACAACCCAGACCGCCAGCUAAGGUCCCAAAGUCAUGGUUAAGUGGGAAACGAUGUGGGAAGGCCCAGACAGCCAGGAUGUUGGCUUAGAAGCAGCCAUCAUUUAAAGAAAGCGUAAUAGCUCACUGGUCGAGUCGGCCUGCGCGGAAGAUGUAACGGGGCUAAACCAUGCAC
This 1007-nucleotide ribosomal RNA is filed under the name Escherichia coli. RNAcentral describes it as "partial 23S ribosomal RNA". It matches the Rfam family "Bacterial large subunit ribosomal RNA", at positions 147 to 1194 of the family's 2925-position model. Lineage: Bacteria; Pseudomonadati; Pseudomonadota; Gammaproteobacteria; Enterobacterales; Enterobacteriaceae. The record is from RNAcentral.